AACUAACGCUAUAUAAGUAUCAGUUUCUGUACUUUAUUGGUAUGAGAAGCUUCCGGAAUCCUCUUCCGGCGAAAUUUUGAAGUAGGGCUCAGCCCUACAA
Molecule: unclassified non-coding RNA, 100 nt
Filed under: Trypanosomatidae sp. 90JS
Lineage: Eukaryota; Euglenozoa; Kinetoplastea; Trypanosomatida; Trypanosomatidae
Description: trans-spliced leader sequence
Source: RNAcentral